Molecule: ribosomal RNA, 533 nt
Filed under: Alteromonas sp.
Lineage: Bacteria; Pseudomonadati; Pseudomonadota; Gammaproteobacteria; Alteromonadales; Alteromonadaceae
Description: bacterial SSU rRNA
Rfam family: Bacterial small subunit ribosomal RNA
Source: RNAcentral
GACCUGAUGCAGCCAUGCCGCGUGUGUGAAGAAGGCCUUCGGGUUGUAAAGCACUUUCAGUUGUGAGGAAAAGUUAGUAGUUAAUACCUGCUAGCCGUGACGUUAACAACAGAAGAAGCACCGGCUAACUCCGUGCCAGCAGCCGCGGUAAUACGGAGGGUGCGAGCGUUAAUCGGAAUUACUGGGCGUAAAGCGCACGCAGGCGGUUUGUUAAGCUAGAUGUGAAAGCCCCGGGCUCAACCUGGGAUGGUCAUUUAGAACUGGCAGACUAGAGUCUUGGAGAGGGGAGUGGAAUUCCAGGUGUAGCGGUGAAAUGCGUAGAUAUCUGGAGGAACAUCAGUGGCGAAGGCGACUCCCUGGCCAAAGACUGACGCUCAUGUGCGAAAGUGUGGGUAGCGAACAGGAUUAGAUACCCUGGUAGUCCACACCGUAAACGCUGUCUACUAGCUGUGUGUGCCUUUAAGGCGUGCGUAGCGAAGCUAACGCGCUAAGUAGACCGCCUGGGGAGUACGGCCGCAAGGUUAAAACUCAAA